This 918-nucleotide ribosomal RNA is filed under the name uncultured Mycoplasma sp. Its description in RNAcentral is "bacterial SSU rRNA". It matches the Rfam family "Bacterial small subunit ribosomal RNA", at positions 87 to 1000 of the family's 1533-position model. The record is from RNAcentral. Lineage: Bacteria; Bacillati; Mycoplasmatota; Mollicutes; Mycoplasmatales; Mycoplasmataceae.
CGGAACUAGCGGCGAAUGGGUGAGUAACACGUACUUAACGUACCUCUUAGAUUGGGAUAACGGUGAGAAAUCACCGCUAAUACCGGAUACUUAUAAGGAAGGCAUCUUCCUUAUAUAAAAGGAGCCUCAAAGCUCCACUAGGAGAUCGGGGUGCGGAACAUUAGUUAGUUGGUGAGGUAAUGGCUCACCAAGACUAUGAUGUUUAACGGGGUUGAGAGACUGAUCCGUCACACUGGGACUGAGAUACGGCCCAGACUCCUACGGGAGGCAGCAGUAGGGAAUUUUCCACAAUGGGCGAAAGCCUGAUGGAGCGACACAGCGUGCAGGAUGAAGGCCUUCGGGUUGUAAACUGCUGUUAUUUAGGAUGAAAAAAUAGUAGAGGAAAUGCUAUUAUCUUGACAGUACUAAAUCAGAAAGCAACGGCUAACUAUGUGCCAGCAGCCGCGGUAAUACAUAGGUUGCAAGCGUUAUCCGGAAUUAUUGGGCGUAAAGCGUCUGUAGGUUGUUUGUUAAGUCUGGCGUCAAAACUUGGGGCUCAACCCCAAAUCGCGUUGGAUACUGACAAACUAGAAUUGUGUAGAGGUUAACGGAAUUCCUUGUGAAGCGGUGAAAUGCGUAGAUAUAAGGAAGAACAUCAACUUGGCGAAGGCAGUUAACUGGGCACAUAUUGACACUGAGAGACGAAAGCGUGGGGAGCAAACAGGAUUAGAUACCCUGGUAGUCCACGCCGUAAACGAUGAUGAUUAGCUGAUGGAAACCAUCGGCGCAGCUAACGCAUUAAAUCAUCCGCCUGAGUAGUAUGCUCGCAAGAGUGAAACUUAAAGGAAUUGACGGGGAUCCGCACAAGCGGUGGAGCAUGUGGUUUAAUUUGAAGAUACGCGUAGAACCUUACCCACUCUUGACAUCUUCUGCAAGCUA